This 408-nucleotide ribosomal RNA is filed under the name uncultured bacterium. RNAcentral's name for it is "partial 16S ribosomal RNA". It matches the Rfam family "Bacterial small subunit ribosomal RNA", at positions 28 to 526 of the family's 1533-position model. The record is from RNAcentral.
GACGAACGCUGGCGGCGUGCUUAACACAUGCAAGUCGAACGAAGUGGCGAACGGGUGAGUAACGCGUAAUCAACCUGCCAUUAAGAGGGGGACAACAGUUGGAAACGACUGCUAAUACCGCAUACUGAAGGAGGGGUUUGCGGGUGAUAGGCUAGUUGGGGGGGUAACGGCCCACCCAGGCGAUUGGCAGUAGCCGGUCGGAUAGGAUGAACCGCCACAUUGGGACUGGGACACGGCCCAGACUCCUUCGGGGGGCAGCAUGGGGGAAUCUUCCGCAAUGGACCACAGUCUGACGGAGCAACGCCGCGUGAUUGAUGACGGCCUUCGGGUUGUAAAGCUCUGUUAAUCGGGACGCGGUACCGGAAUAGAAAGCCACGGCUAACUACGUGCCAGCAGCCGCGGUAAUAC